AUGGAUAGUGGUUCGCCACAUUCCUUUAUCACACAAGCUAAUCGGCUAUGCCCAGUAAAAUUAGACGAAAAUUAGUCUUCGGCACGGAAAAAUUCUCAUCAAGCUGAAUUUUGCCAUACACCUUUAUAACGUCGUCAUAAACAAUGUGUAAUAAGUUUACUUCGAAAUCAUGGCGAUUAAAAAGCUAUUCUAAUUCAUAGGUCAAAGGUCACGAAAUUAUAUUUUUUAUGAUUAUCUCGCUUUCCAUUGGUCGUACGAUAAGAAGUUUUAGAUAAAAAUUUUAGAGGAGAAAAUUAUCUAAAAGAUGGUUUUAUUGUUUUAUAUAUAUAUGUAAUAGAACUUGGUGUGUUCACCAUUAACAAAAUUACAAGAGUAUAAAACUGUUAAAAAUGCAUUCGUUUUAUGUGUGAUGUAACAUAUUUUAGAGUAGGUACUGGAUCCGGCUGCCGGCUAGUUGGUUGUUUGUGAUAGGUAUAGUGUAUAUGUAUAUAUUUUUGAUUUAAAGACCGGUUAUUAUGUUGUAAAAGAAUCUUAUUCUCCCUACUUUUUUUAACAACAUCUGCCGAACCAUCUAUACAUACCGACGCCGCUGCACGUACGCCAUCGACCAUUGUACGACAUUUAGUUGUGUUUGGACCAUACCAACGUCGUCGUGUUCUGUGUGAAUAUACAUCGUAAUUUAAUAUUAUUUUGGACUAAGGUAUAAUGGACUAAAAACCAUCAACUUAUCAGUGGCCACGAAUGUAUGUACAAGAGGCAAGUGUGGAGGUUUGCAUUUACGGACGUAGCCUAUUUGGCUCCCGUUUUAUAAAAAGGUCAAUUUCCAACAGUCUUCCGUCAAAAAAGGUUUUACAAACAGUUUUAAACAGUGUUGAUUCGGUGAUGUACUAUGCUGAAACAAGUAUGCAGUAUGCCCACAAAGAGAACAUUGCCGCAUAUAAAAUACAACGAGAUGAAAACGCCGCAGAUCCACCGUGAGCAUCCUUCACCACAUUAAAACCAAAGAUACUGACACAGAUGAAGACGAAUACAUGGGUACUGAAUAUCUAGUCUUGAAUUUUCAAAUAUGAACUAAAUAACAAAUAUUUACCUAUCUAUUUAUUUAUUGCCAAAUAUGAAAAAGAAAUGUAUGUCGUAUGUCUUUUUCCGAUUUUAAAACACUGUGCGCCGUCCCCAAAGUUGAUGACC
Molecule: long non-coding RNA, 1188 nt
Organism: Acyrthosiphon pisum (pea aphid)
Lineage: Eukaryota; Metazoa; Arthropoda; Insecta; Hemiptera; Aphididae
Exons: 5
Source: RefSeq, a predicted model, not a curated record